CAAAGAUUAAGCCAUGCAUGUCUAAGUACAACUAUAUUAAAGUGAAACCGCGAAAGGCUCAUUAAAUCAGUUAUGGUUCCUUAGAUCGUACCACAAUUACUUGGAUAACUGUGGUAAUUCUAGAGCUAAUACAUGCAAACAGAGCUCUGACCGGAGACGGAAGGAGUGCUUUUAUUAGAUCAAAACCUAUCGGUGGCGGUAUCGUUUCGGCGGUAUCCGUUCAUCGCUCAAUAAAUGGUGAAUCUGAAUAACUUUAUGCUGAUCGCAUGGUCUUGUACCGGCGACGCAUCUUUCAAAUGUCUGCCUUAUCAACUGUCGAUGGUAGGAUCUGCGCCUACCAUGGUUGUAACGGGUAACGGGGAAUCAGGGUUCGAUUCCGGAGAGGGAGCCUGAGAAACGGCUACCACAUCCAAGGAAGGCAGCAGGCGCGCAAAUUACCCACUCCCGGCACGGGGAGGUAGUGACGAAAAAUAACGAUACGGGACUCAUCCGAGGCCCCGUAAUCGGAAUGAGUACACUUUAAAUCCUUUAACGAGGACCAAUUAGAGGGCAAGUCUGGUGCCAGCAGCCGCGGUAAUUCCAGCUCUAAUAGCGUAUAUUAAAGUUGUUGCGGUUAAAAAGCUCGUAGUUGAAUUUGUGUCCCGCACUGUCGGUUCACCGCCCGCGGUGCUAACUGGCAUGUUUGCGGGACGUCCUGCCGGUGGAUGUUCAGUGGUCAAUUGAUUUCGGUCAGUUUUCCAUUUCAUCCGGCUUAUGAAUCCUGUCGCGGUGCUCUUAACUGAGUGUCGAGGCGGGCCGGCACGUUUACUUUGAACAAAUUAGAGUGCUCAAAGCAGGCUAACAAAUGCCUGAAUAAUUAGUGCAUGGAAUAAUGGAACAGGACCUUGGUUCUAUUUUGUUGGUUUUUCGGAACCCCCAGGUAAUGAUUAAUACGGGACAGAUGGGGGCAUUCGUAUGCGACGUUA
This 965-nucleotide ribosomal RNA is filed under the name Sarticus sp. NLG-2014. RNAcentral describes it as "SSU rRNA". It matches the Rfam family "Eukaryotic small subunit ribosomal RNA", at positions 38 to 907 of the family's 1831-position model. Lineage: Eukaryota; Metazoa; Arthropoda; Insecta; Coleoptera; Carabidae. The record is from RNAcentral.